GUAGGGAAUAUUGGGCAAUGGAUGCAAGUCUGACCCAGCCAUCCCGCGUGCCGGAAGAAGGCCCUCAGGGUUGUAAACGGCUUUUGACGGUGAAGAAUCGACAGGAUGCGUCCUGUUUUGACGGUAGCCGUUGAAUAAGCACCGGCUAACUCCGUGCCAGCAGCCGCGAUAAUACGGAGGGUGCGAGCGUUGUCCGGAUUUAUUGGGUUUAAAGGGUGCGUAGGCUGGAAGGUCAGUCAGCGGUGAAAAGCUGUCGCUUAACGAUAGUCUUGCCGCAGAUACUUCCUUUCUUGGAUGAGGAGGAGGCCACUGGAACGGAUGGUGUAGCGGUGAAAUGCAUAGAUAUCAUCCAGAACACCGAUUGCGAAGGCAGGUGGCUGUACCUUAAUCGACGCUGAUGCACGAAAGCAUGGGGAGCAAACAGGAUUAGAAACCCUAGUAGUCC
RNAcentral lists this ribosomal RNA (445 nucleotides) under uncultured bacterium. RNAcentral describes it as "partial 16S ribosomal RNA". It matches the Rfam family "Bacterial small subunit ribosomal RNA", at positions 354 to 796 of the family's 1533-position model. The record is from RNAcentral.